AUUGAACGCUGGCGGCAGGCCUAACACAUGCAAGUCGAGCGGAUGAAGGGAGCUUGCUCCUGGAUUCAGCGGCGGACGGGUGAGUAAUGCCUAGGAAUCUGCCUGGCAGUGGGGGAUAACGUCCGGAAACGGGCGCUAAUACCGCAUACGUCCAGAGGGAGAAAGUGGGGGAGCUUCGGACCUCACGCUAUCAGAUGAGCCUAGGUCGGAUUAGCUAGUUGGUGGGGUAAAGGCCUACCAAGGCGACGAUCCGUAACUGGUCUGAGAGGAUGAUCAGUCACACUGGAACUGAGACACGGUCCAGACUCCUACGGGAGGCAGCAGUGGGGAAUAUUGGACAAAGGGCGAAAGCCUGAUCCAGCCAUGCCGCGUGUGUGAAGAAGGUCUUCGGAUUGUAAAGCCCUUUAAGUUGGGAGGAAGGGCAGUAAGUUAAUACCUUGCUGUUUUGACGUUACCAACAGAAUAAGCACCGGCUAACUUCGUG
Molecule: ribosomal RNA, 484 nt
Filed under: uncultured bacterium
Lineage: Bacteria
Description: partial 16S ribosomal RNA
Rfam family: Bacterial small subunit ribosomal RNA
Source: RNAcentral